AUGGUUGAUCUGAAGAGUCCCACUGGAUAGGGACUCUGGUGAAGAGUGCCACUGGACGGGGUUGGGACUCUAUCAUAAUAGAGGAUUAGUUAGUGAUUAGAUCACUAAUUAACUCAAUUUGAUUGAGUAUUAAAGUUUGGAUCAAAUCUGAUUGAACUGAAUUCAAUCAGGUCAGGUCCGAUUAGAUUAUGAGAUGACCUAAUCGGUAAGAGAGAAUUGAUCUUGAUUUGAUCAGGUCUAUAGCUCAAUUAAUUCAUUGAUUUGAUCAGAUUUAAUUAAAAUUAUGAGAGCCUAAUUAGAUUAGACUCAUCAUAUUUUAUAGAUCUAAUUGGAUUGGGUUUGAAAGAAAUCUAAUUGACUAAACCCUAGAGUCCCAAAUGAAUGAAACUCUCUCUCCCUUUGCGCCUCCCAUUCUCUCCAUGCCUUCUUUCAUCACAUAAAUUAUUUUGUAUGUUGAAUAAUCCAUGCCAAAGCUUCCUAUUGUUGCCCAUUAGUGAUAGGAUUAGGUUGGAUUGAUUUUGAAUUCAAAGUAGUUUGAAUUUCAAAACCUAUGUUGAUCUAUAUCCUCCCACACACUGGCCCCUUGUGAAGGGCGCCCAAUAUGUGCAACAAAAGGAAAUAAAUGUUGAUUUUUUCCACACCAAAAAGCCUUGGUCAGCCUCC
RNAcentral lists this long non-coding RNA (663 nucleotides) under Elaeis guineensis (African oil palm). Its description in RNAcentral is "long non-coding RNA (EGUI_LNC079841)". Lineage: Eukaryota; Viridiplantae; Streptophyta; Magnoliopsida; Arecales; Arecaceae. The record is from RNAcentral.